AAAAAAUUCAGCACAAACGGCUACAUGGGCCGAAAAAAGCACAUGAAGAGAAGAAAGCCACCAAGGAAUUAUUCCCGCCCAAGUAAGAAGCUCCACCUUGGCAGAUAGCAGACCUGACGGGCGAAAAUAAAGAAAUAUCCGCACUGGUGAAAUUGUCCUACUGACUCCUAUCACCAUAGAUAUCAUCCGUAGUAUUAUUAUGUUAUAUAUGGAUCUACCAACCAUGAACGCUAUCCUCAUGAUGUAAGUUAAACAACGAAAUGACUAUGUAUAAUUGUCUAAAGUAUUCUCUGUUGUUUAUCACUGAAUAUUGCUGUGAUGUCAAUAAUCAUACGAAAUUCUCAACUU
Molecule: long non-coding RNA, 348 nt
Organism: Lolium rigidum
Lineage: Eukaryota; Viridiplantae; Streptophyta; Magnoliopsida; Poales; Poaceae
Exons: 3
Source: RefSeq, a predicted model, not a curated record